AAACAGUGGCUAAGACUGGAUAGGAAGAUAAAAGGCAUCUUUUAUCUUUUUAAAGACCUAGUAAUAGGUAUGCUUUAGGAGGGGCUUGCGCCAUAUUAGUUAGUUGGUAGGGUAAUGGCCUACCAAGACGAUGAUGUGUAGCUGGACUGAGAGGUUGAACAGCCACAUUGGGACUGAGACACGGCCCAAACUCCUACGGGAGGCAGCAGUAGGGAAUUUUCGGCAAUGGAGGAAACUCUGACCGAGCAACGCCGCGUGAAUGACGAAGUACUUCGGUAUGUAAAGUUCUUUUAUCAAGGAAGAAAAGCAAAUGGCGAACCAUUUGUUUGCCGGUACUUGAUGAAUAAGCCCCGGCUAAUUAUGUGCCAGCAGCCGCGGUAAGACAUAAGGGGCAAGUGUUAUCCGGAAUUAUUGGGCGUAAAGGGUGCGUAGGCGGUCUAGUAAGUCAGUGGUGUAAUGGCAACGCUUAACGUUGUCCGGCUAUUGAAACUGCUAAACUUGAGUUAGAUAGAGGCGAGUGGAAUUCCAUGUGUAGCGGUAAAAUGCGUAAAUAUAUGGAGGAACACCAGAGGCGUAGGCGGCUCGCUGGGUCUUAACUGACGCUGAGGCACGAAAGCGUGGGGAGCAAACAGGAUUAGAUACCCUGGUAGUCCACGCCGUAAACGAUGAGUACUAAGUGUCGGGUUAAACCGGUACUGAAGUUAACACAUUAAGUACUCCGCCUGAGUAGUACGUACGCAAGUAUGAAACUUAAAGGAAUUGACGGGACUCCGCACAAGCGGUGGAUCAUGUUGUUUAAUUCGAAGAUACCCGAAAAACCUUACCAGGUCUUGACAUGUUUUUGCAAAAUGAUAGUAAUAUCGUGGAGGUUACCAGAAACACAGGUGGUGCAUGGUUGUCGUCAGCUCGUGUCGUGAGAUGUUAGGUUAAGUCCUAAAACGAGCGAAACCCUUAUCGUUAGUUGCCAGCACGUUAUGGUGGGGACUUUAACGAGACUGCCAAUGAUAAAUUGGAGGAAGGUGAGGAUCACGUCAAAUCAGCAUGCCCCUUAUGACCUGGGCUACAAACGUGAUACAAUGGCUGUUACAAAGGGUAGCUGAAACGCAAGUUCUUGGCCAAUCCCCAAAAACAGUCCCAGUCCGGAUUGAAGUCUGCAACUCGACUUCAUGAAGUUGGAAUCGCUAGUAAUCGCGAAUCAGCAUGUCGCGGUGAAUACGUUGUC
Molecule: ribosomal RNA, 1222 nt
Filed under: Phytoplasma sp.
Lineage: Bacteria; Bacillati; Mycoplasmatota; Mollicutes; Acholeplasmatales; Acholeplasmataceae
Description: bacterial SSU rRNA
Rfam family: Bacterial small subunit ribosomal RNA
Source: RNAcentral